AAUAGAUACCCCGGUAGUCCACGCCGUAAACGAUAGAGUGCUAAGUGUUAGAGGGUUUCCGCCCUUUAGUGCUGCAGCUAACGCAUUAAGCACUCCGCCUGGGGAGUACGGUCGCAAGACUGAAACUCAAAGGAAUUGACGGGGGCCCGCACAAGCGGUGGAGCAUGUGGUUUAAUUCGAAGCAACGCGAAGAACCUUACCAGGUCUUGACAUCCUCUGACAACUCUAGAGAUAGAGCGUUCCCCUUCGGGGGACAGAGUGACAGGUGGUGCAUGGUUGUCGUCAGCUCGUGUCGUGAGAUGUUGGGUUAAGUCCCGCAACGAGCGCAACCCUUGAUCUUAGUUGCCAGCAUUUAGUUGGGCACUCUAAGGUGACUGCCGGUGACAAACCGGAGGAAGGUGGGGAUGACGUCAAAUCAUCAUGCCCCUUAUGACCUGGGCUACACACGUGCUACAAUGGGAUGGUACAAAGGGGCUGCAAGACCGCGAGGUCAAACCAAUCCCAUAAAACCAUUCUCAGUUCGGA
This 525-nucleotide ribosomal RNA is filed under the name uncultured bacterium. RNAcentral describes it as "bacterial SSU rRNA". It matches the Rfam family "Bacterial small subunit ribosomal RNA", at positions 777 to 1297 of the family's 1533-position model. The record is from RNAcentral.